Molecule: ribosomal RNA, 399 nt
Filed under: uncultured bacterium
Lineage: Bacteria
Description: bacterial SSU rRNA
Rfam family: Bacterial small subunit ribosomal RNA
Source: RNAcentral
AAUGAACGCUGGCGGCGUGCUUUACACAUGCAAGUUGAGCGAGGCCACCCGCAAGGGUGAGUCGAGCGGCGAACGGGUGAGUAACGCGUGGAUAACCUGCCCUGAGGUGGGGAAUAACCCGGGGAAACUCGGGCUAAUACCGCAUGAUACCUAGCGGUCAAAGGGGGCUCGCAAGAGCUCUUGCCACAGGAGGGGUCCNCGUUCGAUUAGCUAGUUGGUAGGGUAAUGGCCUACCAAGGCGACGAUCGAUAGCCGGCCUGAGAGGGUGAUCGGCCACACUGGAACUGAGACACGGUCCAGACUCCUACGGGAGGCAGCAGUGGGGAAUUUUGCGCAAUGGCUAACGCCUGACGCAGCAACGCCGCGUGGAGGAUGAAGGUCUUUGGAUUGUAAACUCCU